Molecule: ribosomal RNA, 263 nt
Filed under: uncultured Glomus
Lineage: Eukaryota; Fungi; Glomeromycota; Glomeromycetes; Glomerales; Glomeraceae
Description: partial 18S ribosomal RNA
Rfam family: Eukaryotic small subunit ribosomal RNA
Source: RNAcentral
AAGCUCGUAGUUGAAUUUCGGGGUUAGUAGGUUGGUCAUGCCUCCGGUAUGUACUGGUCUCACUGAUUCCUCCUUCCUGAUGAACCGUAAUGCCAUUAAUUUUGGGUGUUUGCCGGGGGAAUUUUGGACUGUUACUUUGAAAAAAUUGAGUGUUUAAAGCAAGCUAACGCUUGAAUACAUUAGCAUGGAAUAAUGAAAUAGGACGUUCGAUCCUAUUUUGUUGGUUUCUAGGAUUGACGUAAUGAUUAAUAGGGAUAGUUGGG